GGGGGAUAUGGGGCGAAGCCUGAUGGAGCACGCCGCGUGCAGGAUGAAUGCCUUAGGGUUGUAAACUGCUUUUCUUUGUGAGGAUUAUGACAGUAGCAGAGGAAUAAGGAUCGGCUAACUCCGUGCCAGCAGCCGCGGUCAUACGGAGGAUCCAAGCGUUAUCCGGAAUUACUGGGCGUAAAGAGUUGCGUAGGCGGCAGAGUAAGCAGAGAUUGAAAGCGUGUGGCUCAACCAUACAUCCAAUCUUUGAACUGCUCAGCUAGAGGAUGAGAGAGGUGGCUGGAAUUCCCAGUGUAGGAGUGAAAUCCGUAGAUAUUGGGAGGAACACCGAUGGCGUAGGCAGGCCACUGGCUCAUUCCUGACGCUCAGGCACGAAAGCGUGGGGAGCGACCGGGAUUAGAUACCCCGUUAGUCCACGCCGUAAACUAUGGAUGCUAGCUGUGCCCCGUAUCGACCCGGGACGUAGCGAAGCUAACGCGUUAAGCAUCCCGCCUGUGGAGUACGGUCGCAAGAC
Molecule: ribosomal RNA, 514 nt
Filed under: uncultured bacterium
Lineage: Bacteria
Description: bacterial SSU rRNA
Rfam family: Bacterial small subunit ribosomal RNA
Source: RNAcentral